CGUUGGUUGUCCAGGUGAAAGGAUGUAGGCAUGUAUCUUAGGCAAAUCCGGGGUACUCUAUGCUGAGAUCUGAUAGCAAGCUGUACUUGUACAGCGAAGUGGUUGAUGCCAUGCUUCCAGGAAAAGUCUCUAAGCUUCAGUUACACAGGAAUCGUACCCGAAACCGACACAGGUGGUCAGGUCGAGUAGACCAAGGCGCUUGAGAGAACUCUGCUGAAGGAACUAGGCAAAAUGGUACCGUAACUUCGGGAGAAGGUACGCUGUUGUUGGUGAUGGAACUCGCUUCCUGAGCUGACGACAGCCGCAGAAACCAGGCCGCUGCAACUGUUUAUUAAAAACAUAGCACUCUGCAAACACGAAAGUGGACGUAUAGGGUGUGAUGCCUGCCCGGUGCUGGAAGGUUAAUUGAUGGGGUUAGCGUAAGCGAAGCUCUUGAUCGAAGCCCCAGUAAACGGCGGCCGUAACUAUAACGGUCCUAAGGUAGCGAAAUUCCUUGUCGGGUAAGUUCCGACCUGCACGAAUGGCAUAAUGAUGGCGGCGCUGUCUCCAGCAGAGGCUCAGUGAAAUCGAAAUCGCUGUGAAGAUGCAGUGUACCCGCGGCUAGACGGAAAGACCCCGUGAACCUUUACUGCAGCUUGACACUGAACUUUGACCUUACUUGUGUAGGAUAGGUGGGAGGCUUUGAAGCUGGAACGCUAGUUCCAGUGGAGCCGUCCUUGAAAUACCACCCUGGUAAUGUUGAGGUUCUAACUCUGUCCCGUGAUCCGGGACGAGGACCGUGUCUGGUGGGUAGUUUGACUGGGGCGGUCUCCUCCUAAAGAGUAACGGAGGAGUACGAAGGUGCGCUCAGCGUGGUCGGAAAUCACGCGUAGAGUAUAAAGGCAAAAGCGCGCUUAACUGCGAGACCCACAAGUCGAGCAGGUACGAAAGUAGGUCUUAGUGAUCCGGUGGUUCUGUAUGGAAGGGCCAUCGCUCAACGGAUAAAAGGUACUCUGGGGAUAACAGGCUGAUACCGCCCAAGAGUUCAUAUCGACGGCGGUGUUUGGCACCUCGAUGUCGGCUCAUCUCAUCCUGGGGCUGAAGCAGGUCCCAAGGGUAUGGCUGUUCGCCAUUUAAAGAGGUACGCGAGCUGGGUUUAGAACGUCGUGAGACAGUUCGGUCCCUAUCUACCGUGGGCGCUGGAAAUUUGAGAGGAUCUGCUCCUAGUACGAGAGGACCAGAGUGGACGAACCUCUGGUGUACCGGUUGUGACGCCAGUCGCAUCGCCGGGUAGCUAUGUUCGGAAGGGAUAACCGCUGAAAGCAUCUAAGCGGGAAGCCUACCUCAAGAUAAGAUUUCCCUAGGACUUUAUGUCCUCUAAAGAGCCGUUCGAGACUAGGACGUUGAUAGGUUGGAUGUGGAAGCAUAGUGAUAUGUGAAGCUGACCAAUACUAAUUGCUCGUGAGGCUUGACUAU
Molecule: ribosomal RNA, 1455 nt
Filed under: Acinetobacter baumannii
Lineage: Bacteria; Pseudomonadati; Pseudomonadota; Gammaproteobacteria; Moraxellales; Moraxellaceae
Description: partial 23S ribosomal RNA
Rfam family: Bacterial large subunit ribosomal RNA
Source: RNAcentral